CCCCAGGAUAGUGCAACUGGUAGACCACAAGACUCUUAAUCUCAGGAUCAUGGGUUCAAACCCCACGUUGGGCA
Podarcis lilfordi (Lilford's wall lizard) is the source of this 74-nucleotide non-coding RNA. NCBI's taxonomy places the organism in Eukaryota, Metazoa, Chordata, Lepidosauria, Squamata, Lacertidae. The record is from the annotation of a GenBank genome assembly.